GGGAAACAGUAGAAGUGAGGGGGAACAGCAGCAUAAGGGGGAAACAGCAGCAGUGAUGGGGAAACAGCAGCAGUGAGGGGGAAACAGCAGCAGUGACAGGGAAACAGCAGCAGUGAGGUGGAAACAGCAGAAGUGAGGGGGAAACAGUAGCAGUGAGGUGGAAACAGCAGCACCGAGGUGGAAACAGUAGAAGUGAGGUGGAAACAGUGCAGUGAGGGGGAAACAGCAGCAGUGAUGGGAAACAGUAGCAUUGAGGGGGAA
This 261-nucleotide long non-coding RNA is filed under the name Salmo salar (Atlantic salmon). RNAcentral's name for it is "lncRNA (ENSSSAG00000111112.1)". Lineage: Eukaryota; Metazoa; Chordata; Actinopteri; Salmoniformes; Salmonidae. The record is from RNAcentral.